This 560-nucleotide ribosomal RNA is filed under the name uncultured bacterium. Its description in RNAcentral is "bacterial SSU rRNA". It matches the Rfam family "Bacterial small subunit ribosomal RNA", at positions 347 to 917 of the family's 1533-position model. The record is from RNAcentral.
GGCAGCAGUGGGGAAUAUUGCACAAUGGGCGAAAGCCUGAUGCAGCGACGCCGCGUGAGGGAUGACGGCCUUCGGGUUGUAACCCUCUUUCAGUAGGGAAGAAGCGAAAGUGACGGUACCUGCAGAAGAAGCGCCGGCUAACUACGUGCCAGCAGCCGCGGUAAUACGUAGGGCGCAAGCGUUAUCCGGAAUUAUUGGGCGUAAAGAGCUCGUAGGCGGUUUGUCGCGUCUGCUGUGAAAGACCGCAGCUUAACCUCGGGCCUGCAGUGGGUACGGGCAGGCUAGAGUGAUGUAGGGGAGACUGGAAUUCCUGGUGUAGCGGUGAAAUGCGCAGAUAUCAGGAGGAACACCGAUGGCGAAGGCAGGUCUCUGGGCCUUAACUGACGCUGAGGAGCGAAAGCAUGGGGAGCGAACAGGAUUAGACACCCUGGUAGUCCAUGCCGUAAACGUUGGGCACUAGGUGUGGGGGACAUUCCACGUUUUCCGCGCCGUAGCUAACGCAUUAAGUGCCCCGCCUGGGGAGUACGGCCGCAAGGCUAAAACUCAAAGGAAUUGACGGA